GGCUAGCGUUGUUCGGAUUUACUGGGCGUAAAGCGCACGUAGGCGGAUCGUUAAGUCAGGGGUGAAAUCCUGGAGCUCAACUCCAGAACUGCCUUUGAUACUGGCGAUCUUGAGUCCGGAAGAGGUGAGUGGAACUCCUAGUGUAGAGGUGGAAUUCGUAGAUAUUAGGAAGAACACCAGUGGCGAAGGCGGCUCACUGGUCCGGUACUGACGCUGAGGUGCGAAAGCGUGGGGAGCAAACAGG
RNAcentral lists this ribosomal RNA (244 nucleotides) under uncultured bacterium. RNAcentral's name for it is "partial 16S ribosomal RNA". It matches the Rfam family "Bacterial small subunit ribosomal RNA", at positions 533 to 776 of the family's 1533-position model. The record is from RNAcentral.